This 467-nucleotide ribosomal RNA is filed under the name uncultured bacterium. Its description in RNAcentral is "partial 16S ribosomal RNA". It matches the Rfam family "Bacterial small subunit ribosomal RNA", at positions 28 to 507 of the family's 1533-position model. The record is from RNAcentral.
GACGAACGCUGGCGGCGUGCUUAACACAUGCAAGUCGAACGGAAAGGCCCUGCUUUUGUGGGGUGCUCGAGUGGCGAACGGGUGAGUAACACGUGAGUAACCUGCCCUUGACUUUGGGAUAACUUCAGGAAACUGGGGCUAAUACCGGAUAGGAGCUCCUGCUGCAUGGUGGGGGUUGGAAAGUUUCGGCGGUUGGGGAUGGACUCGCGGCUUAUCAGCUUGUUGGUGGGGUAGUGGCUUACCAAGGCUUUGACGGGUAGCCGGCCUGAGAGGGUGACCGGCCACAUUGGGACUGAGAUACGGCCCAGACUCCUACGGGAGGCAGCAGUGGGGAAUAUUGCACAAUGGGCGGAAGCGUGAUGCAGCAACGCCGCGUGCGGGAUGACGGCCUUCGGUUGUAAACCGCUUUCGCCUGUGACGAAGCGUGAGUGACGGUAAUGGGUAAAGAAGCACCGGCUAACUACGUG